AGAAUCAACGCUGGCGGCGUGCCUAACACAUGCAAGUCGCACGAGAAAGGGGAGCAAUCCCUGAGUACAGUGGCGCACGGGUGAGUAACACGUGAAUAAUCUACCUCCGAGUGGGGAAUAACUGAGAGAAAUCUUAGCUAAUACCGCAUAAUACCCACGGGUCAAAGCAGUAAUGCGCUUGGAGAGGAGUUCGCGGCAGAUUAGUUAGUUGGCGGGGUAAUGGCCCACAAGACGAUGAUCUGUA
RNAcentral lists this ribosomal RNA (244 nucleotides) under uncultured bacterium. Its description in RNAcentral is "partial small subunit ribosomal RNA". It matches the Rfam family "Bacterial small subunit ribosomal RNA", at positions 26 to 285 of the family's 1533-position model. The record is from RNAcentral.